This 663-nucleotide ribosomal RNA is filed under the name Limnoraphis robusta LEGE XX358. Its description in RNAcentral is "bacterial SSU rRNA". It matches the Rfam family "Bacterial small subunit ribosomal RNA", at positions 99 to 795 of the family's 1533-position model. The record is from RNAcentral. Lineage: Bacteria; Bacillati; Cyanobacteriota; Cyanophyceae; Oscillatoriales; Sirenicapillariaceae.
CGGACGGGUGAGUAACGCGUGAGAAUCUGCCUCUAGGACGGGGACAACAGAAGGAAACUUCUGCUAAUCCCGGAUGAGCCGCAAGGUGAAAGAUUUAUCGCCUAGAGAUGAGCUCGCGUCUGAUUAGCUAGUUGGUAAGGUAAAAGCUUACCAAGGCAACGAUCAGUAGCUGGUCUGAGAGGAUGAUCAGCCACACUGGGACUGAGACACGGCCCAGACUCCUACGGGAGGCAGCAGUGGGGAAUUUUCCGCAAUGGGCGCAAGCCUGACGGAGCAAGACCGCGUGGGGGAGGAAGGCUCUUGGGUUGUAAACCCCUUUUCUCAGGGAAGAACCAAAUGACGGUACCUGAGGAAUCAGCCUCGGCUAACUCCGUGCCAGCAGCCGCGGUAAUACGGAGGAGGCAAGCGUUAUCCGGAAUGAUUGGGCGUAAAGCGUUCGUAGGUGGCUAUUCAAGUCUGCUGUCAAAGACAGAAGCUCAACUUCUGAAAGGCAGUGGAAACUGAGUAGCUGGAGUGCGGUAGGGGCAGAGGGAAUUCCCGGUGUAGCGGUGAAAUGCGUAGAGAUCGGGAAGAACACCGGUGGCGAAAGCGCUCUGCUGGGCCGCAACUGACACUGAGGGACGAAAGCUAGGGGAGCGAAUGGGAUUAGAUACCCCUGUAGUC